This 228-nucleotide ribosomal RNA is filed under the name uncultured bacterium. RNAcentral describes it as "partial 16S ribosomal RNA". It matches the Rfam family "Bacterial small subunit ribosomal RNA", at positions 568 to 795 of the family's 1533-position model. The record is from RNAcentral.
UCCGUAGGUGGACAAUUAAGUCAGAGGUGAAAGUUUGCAGCUCAACUGUAAAAUUGCCUUUGAUACUGGUUGUCUUGAAUUAUUGUGAAGUGGUUAGAAUAUGUAGUGUAGCGGUGAAAUGCAUAGAUAUUACAUAGAAUACCAAUUGCGAAGGCAGAUCACUAACAAUAUAUUGACACUGAUGGACGAAAGCGUGGGGAGCGAACAGGAUUAGAUACCCUGGUAGUC